AGAGUUUGAUCAUGGCUCAGAGCGAACGCUGGCGGCAGGCUUAACACAUGCAAGUCGAGCGGGCACUUCGGUGUCAGCGGCAGACGGGUGAGUAACACGUGGGAACGUACCCUUCGGUUCGGAAUAACUCAGGGAAACUUGAGCUAAUACCGGAUACGCCCUUUGGGGGAAAGGUUUACUGCCGAAGGAUCGGCCCGCGUCUGAUUAGCUAGUUGGUGGGGUAACGGCCUACCAAGGCGACGAUCAGUAGCUGGUCUGAGAGGAUGAUCAGCCACACUGGGACUGAGACACGGCCCAGACUCCUACGGGAGGCAGCAGUGGGGAAUAUUGGACAAUGGGCGCAAGCCUGAUCCAGCCAUGCCGCGUGAGUGAUGAAGGCCUUAGGGUUGUAAAGCUCUUUCGACGGGGACGAUAAUGACGGUACCCGUAGAAGAAGCCCCGGCUAACUUCGUGCCAGCAGCCGCGGUAAUACGAAGGGGGCUAGCGUUGCUCGGAAUCACUGGGCGUAAAGGGCGCGUAGGCGGAUACUUAAGUCAGGGGUGAAAGCCCGAGGCUCAACCUCGGAACUGCCUUUGAUACUGAGUAUCUUGAGACCGGUAGAGGUAAGUGGAACUGCGAGUGUAGAGGUGAAAUUCGUAGAUAUUCGCAAGAACACCAGUGGCGAAGGCGGCUUACUGGACCGGUUCUGACGCUGAGGCGCGAAAGCGUGGGGAGCAAACAGGAUUAGAUACCCCCGUAGUCC
RNAcentral lists this ribosomal RNA (742 nucleotides) under uncultured Hyphomicrobiales bacterium. RNAcentral describes it as "bacterial SSU rRNA". It matches the Rfam family "Bacterial small subunit ribosomal RNA", at positions 8 to 796 of the family's 1533-position model. The record is from RNAcentral. Lineage: Bacteria; Pseudomonadati; Pseudomonadota; Alphaproteobacteria; Hyphomicrobiales.